ACUCCCAAAUUUUAACCUAAAGGUACUUUUUCGUAAUGCCUGUAAGGUUAGCUCUCACAUCAUUUCAUAUUCGACUCCAAAACACUAACAAAGCUUCUUCUUGCUUCUCAAAGUUUUGAUGGUGUAGACGAAGUCCGUAUGAGUGCUUGUCUUUGUAUCUUCUAACAAGGAUACAAUACUUAGGCUUUUAAGAUCUGGUUGCGGUUCUAGUUGUUAUACUCACUCAUACUUAUGCUUUGUAUGAGUGAGUAUAACAAAUAGAACCGCAA
RNAcentral lists this small RNA (269 nucleotides) under Arabidopsis thaliana (thale cress). RNAcentral's name for it is "ATSL271270". The record is from RNAcentral. Lineage: Eukaryota; Viridiplantae; Streptophyta; Magnoliopsida; Brassicales; Brassicaceae.